GACGAACGCUGGCGGCGUGCUAAUACAUGCAAGUCGAACGAAACUUCCUUACACCGAAUGCUUGCAUUCACCGUAAGAAGUUGAGUGGCGGACGGGUGAGUAACACGUGGGUAACCUGCCUAAAAGAAGGGGAUAACACUUGGAAACAGGUGCUAAUACCGUAUAUCUCUAAGGAUCGCAUGAUUCUUAGAUGAAAGAUGGUUCUGCUAUCGCUUCUAGAUGGACCCGCGGCGUAUUAACUAGUUGGUGGGGUAACGGCCUACCAAGGUGAUGAUACGUAGCCGAACUGAGAGGUUGAUCGGCCACAUUGGGACUGAGACACGGCCCAAACUCCUACGGGAGGCAGCAGUAGGGAAUCUUCCACAAUGGACGCAAGUCUGAUGGAGCAACGCCGCGUGAGUGAAGAAGGUCUUCGGAUCGUAAAACUCUGUUGUUAGAGAAGAACACGAGUGAGAGUAACUGUUCAUUCGAUGACGGUAUCUAACCAGCAAGUCACGGCUAACUACGUGCCAGCAGCCGCGGUAAUACGUAGGUGGCAAGCGUUGUCCGGAUUUAUUGGGCGUAAAGGGAACGCAGGCGGUCUUUUAAGUCUGAUGUGAAAGCCUUCGGCUUAACCGGAGUAGUGCAUUGGAAACUGGAAGACUUGAGUGCAGAAGAGGAGAGUGGAACUCCAUGUGUAGCGGUGAAAUGCGUAGAUAUAUGGAAGA
Molecule: ribosomal RNA, 707 nt
Filed under: uncultured Bacilli bacterium
Lineage: Bacteria; Bacillati; Bacillota; Bacilli
Description: bacterial SSU rRNA
Rfam family: Bacterial small subunit ribosomal RNA
Source: RNAcentral